ACCUGAAAUUCAACGGACAGUUGCAAUCUACAUAAGU
This 37-nucleotide small RNA is filed under the name Bombyx mori (domestic silkworm). RNAcentral describes it as "ovarian small RNA-11379". Lineage: Eukaryota; Metazoa; Arthropoda; Insecta; Lepidoptera; Bombycidae. The record is from RNAcentral.